GCGCGCUUAGCUCAGUUGGUUAGAGCGUGUCUUUGACGUAGACAAGGCCGGGGGUUCAAAUCCCUCAGCGCGCA
RNAcentral lists this transfer RNA (74 nucleotides) under bacterium. RNAcentral's name for it is "tRNA-Val". It matches the Rfam family "tRNA". Rfam says of the family: Transfer RNA (tRNA) molecules are approximately 80 nucleotides in length. Their secondary structure includes four short double-helical elements and three loops (D, anti-codon, and T loops). The record is from RNAcentral.